ACGAACGCUGGCGGCGUGCUUAACACAUGCAAGUCGAGCGGUAAGGCCCUUUCGGGGGUACACGAGCGGCGAACGGGUGAGUAACACGUGGGUGACCUGCCCUCAGCUCUGGGAUAAGCCUGGGAAACUGGGUCUAAUACCGGGAUAUGACUCCAUGACGCAUGUUGUGGGGUGGAAAGCCUUGUGCGGCUGAGGAUGGGCCCGCGGCCUAUCAGCUUGUUGGUGGGGNGAUGGCCUACCAAGGCGACGACGGGUAGCCGGCCUGAGAGGGCGACCGGCCACACUGGGACUGAGACACGGCCCAGACUCCUACGGGAGGCAGCAGUGGGGAAUCUUGCGCAAUGGGCGAAAGCCUGACGCAGCGACGCCGCGUAAGGGAUGACGGCCUGGU
This 391-nucleotide ribosomal RNA is filed under the name uncultured bacterium. Its description in RNAcentral is "bacterial SSU rRNA". It matches the Rfam family "Bacterial small subunit ribosomal RNA", at positions 29 to 420 of the family's 1533-position model. The record is from RNAcentral.